This 2144-nucleotide long non-coding RNA is filed under the name Carica papaya (papaya). RNAcentral describes it as "long non-coding RNA (CPAP_LNC005239)". The record is from RNAcentral. Lineage: Eukaryota; Viridiplantae; Streptophyta; Magnoliopsida; Brassicales; Caricaceae.
UUUCUUCUUCUCUUAACCAAAGAUUUAGAGAGAGAAUUUAGAGAGAGAAAGCUAAGAAGAGAGAGAAAAAGUCUUGAGAAGAAACUAGAAAGCCUUCGAUCUUCACACGGUAAAUCUUCUUCUUCUUUCCUACUUUGUUUUCUUUACACUAUAACUUUUUAUCCUUAAGCUCUUUAUUCAUUAAAAAUUUCAGAAAAACUACUUCACGCAAGGACUCUACCAAAAAACCUUCCUUUCUCCUCCCAAAAAAUAAACCGAAAUGGAAAAGAUUAAGAUUUUAGUAAGGAAUUUCUUAAGUAUUUUCUCAUACAUUCGUAAGUAAAUUUUUUAGAUAAUUUAACUUGAGAUUUUAAAUGAUCUUGAUGCAUGGAUUUAAAAUGUGAUUGGUUGUUAAUUUACAUGAGUAUGAACAUAUGAAAUAAAAUGCAUGAUUGACUCAACACAUGAUGAUUUGAAGUAUGUGCGGGUUUGGCCCUUUACUUUAUGUUUGGUAAUGAUGGAGAGGGUCGUUCUAUUAGGUCUUGGCUCGAGAAGACGAUCUGAUGGCCAAGUUUAUGUAGAAUGAGCCUUUGUGCCAGAAUAUGUUAUUAGACCCCAUCAGGUCCUAAAUAUGUGAUUAUUCUAAAAGAAAAUUAGUAAAAGAAAUAGAAAACAAUGGAAAAUUUAUUUGAUCGUUAUCUCUGAGGAGUUUCUAUUUCUGUCUGAAUCUAUAUCUUAAUAUGUUGGUGAAUCGCUCCUUGUGAAUGAGAUUGUGUUCCCUCGAAUGAAAGUGGAUUCACAAUAUGAUCUGUAGGAGGCCACAGUGGCCAAGUACACCCGUGGUCGUUGAUCUUAUCUAAUCUAUAGAGGUCACAAUAGCAAAGUACGGAUGUGACCUAAGUUUGUAUGAUUGAUAUGUAAAUAAAUAUGUUUGUUAUUCACAUUGAUAGUUUGGGGAUCCCUUCUGCCCUGAAUUGAUAUAAGUUAGAACAGCUUCACACAAAGAUUUAUAAAAGACGUAAAUAAAACUUAACUAUCUGAUAACAUGACUAGAAUAGUUUUUUGGUAUGUCAUGCUAUAAUGAUUUUGUAUGAUAUGUUCUUUUCUAUUUUAUCAUGAUCUCUUUAUGCUCUUAGUUGAUUCAAAUAGUUUUAAUUACACUACUUGGUUGUGUCUUGUUAUCUUGUUUUCCACUUAGUUCUUACGUCCUAUUAUAAUAUCAAUGUUUUAAUGGUUUUUAAAAGAAAGAUAAAGGUUUUUUUAAUAUUUAAAAAUAAACCCACUCUUUGACGAAUUAUAAAGGUAAAUCAUUCAUUUAAGUAAAGGCAUUUUAUUUUAAAAUUAAUGAGCUUUGUAAACCUUAGUAGUAUAGUACAAAUACUAUUUUUCUUAUUAAGUUAUAUAACCCCAAUCCAUAUCUCUCCUUAGAUGAUGGAAGUGAUGACUCGCUUGUUGAGUUGCCCCUUAAAGCUUGUUUGGAUCUAUUCACAGAUCUUUAUGAAGAUUAGGAGUGCUUUAUCUAUUUGCACUUUGAUGAAACCAACUUGUAAUGGAAGAAGUGGCUCUCCAUAACCUUUUUCUAUAUAUAUUUUAGCAGCCAUCUUUUUGGUCUCAAUUGUAAAAUUUGAAUCUCAAAUUUUAUUGUAAGAGAUUUUAUUUUUUGCUGCAUAUAUUUUGAUUAUUUUCACUCAUAUUUAUUAUAUUUCAAGCACUCUUUUAUCACACGAGGUAUCUUGGACACCGAAUGAACACACACCUUCUCACUAAUAUAUAAGUAUGUACAUAUGUAUACAUAUGUGUUACAGUUUUGCCAUUUUCAGACGGUUCCCUCACAUCUCGCCUCUCCGAUAUCAUCUAUUACAGUAUCAAGACACCAUCUUCAAGUACGUCUAAACAGAGAGUAUAAAUAGAUGCAUGCUAGAACAGAUAGAAAAAAGGACUAAUCCAAAAACUUUAAGAAACCUAUAAAUCUUUCAUGUCGGUUAUUAUCAUAUAUUUGAAAUUUCUUAACAAAAUAAACAUAAGCUAGCAUUUAUUAGUGGGUUACGAAGGUAUAGAUGCUAGAAUAAUAGCAUGAUACUUCUUAACUUUACUGGAACCAAAACGGGUCGAGUAUUCACAACAGGUGUUGGGUUUUCCUAUUGGGUUUAUUUUUUAUAUUGAGG